Papilio polytes (common Mormon) is the source of this 3481-nucleotide long non-coding RNA. RefSeq lists it as uncharacterized. The transcript is spliced from 3 exons. NCBI's taxonomy places the organism in Eukaryota, Metazoa, Arthropoda, Insecta, Lepidoptera, Papilionidae. The record is from RefSeq and is a predicted model, not a curated record.
UGCCGCCGCCGCUGCGCUCCGCCACGCACGAGGACUACUCCGUGCACGACACGCCUCCCGGACAGAAGGGAUCUCGCGUGUUCGAAUCUCCAAAGACCAACAUCUGGUGUUCUCCACCGGCGAGCGCUUUGCCCAAUCCAACGGCAUUGCUCACACAAGAAACUAAACGUCGCACUCGGCUGGCGGCGCAGUUCGAUGCAGCAUAAUGUCAUUCCAAACAUAUUAAAAUGCAUUCCUACGAGAUGUACAAGCGAAAUAACGUGUGUCGGAUGUUUGGAUGAGCUCAUAUAAUGUAUCCAAGGUUUGCAACGAAUUUUAUCAACAAGACAAAUACCAAGUGUCCUAAGAAUUGUGAUGUCUAUAACAAUAAUGUUUUAGAUCGUGUAUAUUUUUGUGUGUUUAUUUAGGUUAAGAGAAAUAUUUGCGUUCGUAAAAUGUUAUCAAGUGCUGCAUACAAAAUAGAAUUCGAGUUAUACAGGCUUUAUGAAUGGCAAUAAGUCGGGAAAAGUAUUUAUUACUAAGAUAUUUCUCUCUGUACGAUUAAUUGUCGUUGUGUCCACAAAUGGAUUGUUAAAAUAUUAUUUCUGCAGAAUAUUCUGUUCAGUUUAGCGUGAGUUUUUAUGUAAAUGUCUUCCUUUAUACUUAAGUCUUCUUUUAGAUAUACAGGACAUCUAAGAUAAAGAUUAACAAAUAUUGGAAUUUACAACUUUAUAAGUAAAGUUUAAAAUAGUUAAAAUUAGUAGAUAAAUUGUUGGAAAAGUACAAAUUUUUGAAUGUAGUUAUUUGAAUAAUAAAAUGUUAUAAUAUUUUAUCUAGUUGAAUUUAAAAACAAAACUCAAAUAUGGCUACUGAUCUAGAGAAAUUGCAGAUAUCUCAGGCUAAAAUGAACAGUCUAUGAAUACCAUCAGUUUUGUAUAAUAUAUUUAUAUAAUUUUUUUGGUUACUAUAAUUUGUAUAAUAUUUAUGACACUAUAUGUGAUGAAUUUUAGUUACUUAAUCACUUUGUUUUUGUUUUUUAACUUUUGACAAUUAUUUAUAUUUCUAAGGCUUUAAUUAUUGUAUACAACAGUGACUGAAAUACAUAUACCGUAAGAUAUCCACAUAAUAGUUUAGAAAGUUCUCCAGUAUAGCAUAUAAUUAUGUUUGUAAGCUGUUUGACUGGUUAUAUAACAUCAUAAUGAGUACAGUGAAUUGUAUGUAUAUGUUUAUAAUAUAUAUGUAUGUUAGCAUUUACACAUUACAUAUCAUAUGUAAGAGGUAGGCCGGGAAGUUGUCCGGAUUGUUGGGAUGUGUUAUGUGAUAUCAGAGCGCUUAUAACAUUUUUCGAAUGUCCAUAUAAAGUACAAUAAUCAUAUGAAAAUGUUGAUUUUUGUGAAAAGAAUUUUAUCCUUUGAUAUAUGAUCUCAAUUGAUUCUAUAUUAUGUUUGUUUCAAUUCGGCCUUAAUAUGUGUUUAGUUGUGAAUAACUCUAGUGCGGUUGUAUGUGCAUUUAAUGAAAUUCUUUUAAUGUUUGCAUAAGUAUCAGUCGAAUUUACGUACUUUUAGAUAACGUUUACAUUCUUUAAAUGUUUAUAGCAAUUUAUUUGUAAGGGAAACUUGAAUGUAAAUGUAUUUCUAAAGUGUCGUCCACAAGUUACAUGCAAAAAAUAUCAAGCCAAUGUUAUAGAAGUUAAGGGAGCAAAUUGCAAUGUACAAAGUUUAUACAUAUCUAAGUCUAGUUUGAUAUUAAUUGCAGGACUUAGUUUGUCAUUGAAUUUGCGUAAUUUGUGUAGCAAUUUAUGGACAAAAUGUAACAUUUUGUAUAAUGCAAUUUGCGUUCACUUUAAUACAACUCAAGAGUCAAUUAUAGAUGUUCAAAGAUUUUUUUAAUAUAUAUAAUAAUAGUAUUAAGUUAUUUUUUGUUAUAAGUUCAAGAGUUUGCCGCCUAAAGUGCAAUGGUUGUAAUGUUCGACAUCGAAAAAUAUCGUCGUCCAUGUUGAUUUAAGUUAUGAAGAAUAUUGUGUGUGUAUUGGUUUAUUUAGGUUAUUGUCAGUCGGUAUGUCUCACAUUUGUUUUAGAAAGACUUCCGACUGUGUUUCAUCAGCUAAUCAAGAUAAUUAAGUACAAGCAGUCGUUUUUAUUAUGAGGUAGUAGAAAGUUGUAUGUCAUAGUUGUGUGCUUGUUUAGAAUGGUAGCUGCUCUUUCGUUAGUUGUUAAUGCCAUAGACAUAUAUUAAUGAAUAGUAUUUUUAGUGUAUCUAUUGGUGUAAGAGAUGUGCGUAAUCUUUGAAGUAUGGUAAUGAUUUAAAAUUGUUCAUCAUCAUAAUAAUCAUACAUGUUCUCUUUAGGAUAGUGUUUAGUAGCCAGUUAUCCUAGUGAGUCUGUCCUUUUUUAGGAUCUGUCAUGAUUUACUUUGCAAUAAUAAUAAUAUUGGCUAUAAUAAAUGCGCAAAUAAUUACUAUUAAAUAAUAUCUUAUUUUUUAUAUAAUUGUAUUUUUUGUAAAUAAAUAUACAAUACAUUGAAAUUAUGAAACAUCAAAAUAUUACACCUGUGAUAUAAUAAGUACCAAGAACGCCACAAAUUUUUCCAUUAAAUUGCCAAUUUAUGUAAAUAUACAUAAAAUGUUCUAUAAUUUGGUACAUUAAGUAAAGUACAUUAAAAAAAACUAAAAUCCAUUUACGAAUUAUUUGAAUGUGUAUAAUAAUCAAAUGCUAAGAAAUGUGUUUUUGCUGAUGUCAACAUGGAUUUACGAUAUUUUUAUGUAAGAUCAAGUUUGUUGAUUAAUGUAAGCCGGCUCUUGCAUAUCGAGUUUGAGUGUUUUGAUUGUAUACCACAUGACAUUGAUGUGAGAUCUAAACACUGCCAACUCUGCAUUAUCUGUUGAUUUUUUACCAUUGUAUCUAAACAACUGUUCUAUACAUGUCUUGAAGGGUCAGUUCCUUAGAAAUAAAGGAUAGAAUGUUUUGGUACAAUGUGGAAAUAAAUCAUUUUAAAUAUUUAGUAAGAUAAAUGCAACUACACUUUGUGUCCACCUUCUGUCCAGUCUAUUGUGAAAAUCACUUUGUCUUAAGAAAUACAAUUAUAUCUCUUGUCCUAUUUAUUACUUAUUUUAUCUUUGAUACGUAAUAAACAAUGACAAAAAAUUAAGUCGCUUUAGUGUUGCCAUCUAAAAAUGUUUUAAUGUGGCAUUAAUCCUUAAUAAUUCCAAAUAUAUCUGAUUGAAUUUCUUAAGACUUGUAGGAGGUAUAUUUUUAAGUAUUUUAAGUAUUGUUUUUACUUUUGUGACCAAUAAAAGUUUUAAAUUUCUAAUAAUAAGAUAGUUUUAAGUAAUUCCAAAAGCAGUAAAUGAGAGACUUGUGCGUGUUUUAUCCAUCUUAGUAUUUCUGUGAUUGUUAAUUUCUUGUUGUAGUUCCAACUCGUAAAUCAAUGUACAUCCAAAAGUAGAAUUUUGUCAAAAUGCAUGAAAAUGAAUGUAGUGUUGGAAAUAAAUGUUAUUUUUUGAA